Molecule: ribosomal RNA, 26 nt
Filed under: Daldinia eschscholtzii
Lineage: Eukaryota; Fungi; Ascomycota; Sordariomycetes; Xylariales; Hypoxylaceae
Description: partial 28S ribosomal RNA
Source: RNAcentral
GGUUGACCUCUGAAUCAGGUAGGAAU